UUAAACUUAAACAUAUAUUUUAUAAAAAAAUUUAAAGGCCAAUUUUUAGUUUUGCUUUUAACCUGACAAAUCUCAGAACUAGGUUUUGUCUAGAUACUUUUUUUUUUUUGUUUGUCAACGAGUUCAUUACUCAAAGACCCAAAAAAGGCAAUUACAGAAAGUUUUUAGAAACCUAGAACAUACCCAAUACAAUUUGAGAUCAACACAAAGAAAAGAUGGAACGCGUCGAAACAUGUGUUGAUAAAAAAAAAGAAAAAUAGAGCAUAUAUCAUCUGAGGAGAAAAAACGCUGCAUCACCAUCAAAAUCUCUGCAACAGUGGUCUUUUUGUCGACGGUCUUCUCACCGUCAAAUCACCAACAAAUCUCCGGUGCCACCUAAAGACUUCAUCAGAAACACUUCUGUUUCUUCCCUCUCCUUUAAUGACUCCUCCAAUUUGAAUCUGUAUGAGGAUUGGCACAAAUCUUCGAUUAAUCACUGCUGAUUAUCUUUGACUCAAGACUAAUAACCCAAUGCCGUCAAUGCUUUUGAAGGGAUUUAGAGAGAUAUCUCUCAGUCAAGAUAGGACGAUGCCCAAAGUCGAAGAAGAAAUCUCAACACAAGCCACCUGAUCCGAUCACCACCGCCUCACUGUAAGAGGACUAAAUUGCAGAGGAGAAAUGGGCGAGAAGACAUCCGUACAUAUCUGGAAACCCUUUACUUUACCAUAAAAUCCAUGAUUCUUCUAACAAGAGUAAAUCCUUCACUCCACUAAGGACUAGUGAUGGAUUUUACAAGUUCAAAUAGAAAGAAACAACAAAUAAGAUCAGCAAAAGAAAUCCGAAAGCUGGAAAACCAAAAUCUGAAUAAGUCGGAAACAUAUUACCGAUUGAAACCGGAGAUUAUUGUUCGAUGUUAAUCGAAAUAUAAACAAAAAAAGAGAAAAAGUGCUUCCUCGCUCUCAAAGAUAGAGAUGAGAGAAGAGAGAGGAAGGAAAAGAAACUCCCUUCCUGACUAGAUACAAUACUUGGAACUCAAUUGCUGGAGCAUUUGAAGCUCUUGCGAAAGAAAGAAGAAAAAAAUGCAUAGUUUUAUCUCUUUUUCCAGAUUUUUCCAGAUUUUCCGUGUGACUGCUUCCAUCCACAAACUCUGACAGAAGCUGGAUAUUCUACAAACAAAACCAAGGGUGAUUCCGUCCAUACCGGGGUUCAACAAUAACUAAAGUGCUAUAUUUGCAAGACACUUUAGAAAACUGACAAAAUAAAAAUGUGCCAAUUUCUGCAAACCACCUUAUCAAAC
This 1276-nucleotide long non-coding RNA is filed under the name Eutrema salsugineum. RNAcentral's name for it is "long non-coding RNA (ESAL_LNC001854)". Lineage: Eukaryota; Viridiplantae; Streptophyta; Magnoliopsida; Brassicales; Brassicaceae. The record is from RNAcentral.